GUGUCAGCAGCCGCGGUAAUACGUAGGUGGCAAGCGUUGUCCGGAUUUACUGGGCGUAAAGGAUGCGUAGGCGGACAUUUAAGUCAGAUGUGAAAUACCCGAGCUUAACUUGGGUGCUGCAUUUGAAACUGGGUGUCUAGAGUGCAGGAGAGGUAAGUGGAAUUCCUAGUGUAGCGGUGAAAUGCGUAGAGAUUAGGAAGAACACCAGUGGCGAAGGCGACUUACUGGACUGUAACUGACGCUGAGGCAUGAAAGCGUGGGGAGCAAACAGGAUUAGAUACCCUGGUAGUCC
RNAcentral lists this ribosomal RNA (292 nucleotides) under uncultured bacterium. RNAcentral's name for it is "partial 16S ribosomal RNA". It matches the Rfam family "Bacterial small subunit ribosomal RNA", at positions 505 to 796 of the family's 1533-position model. The record is from RNAcentral.